AUACGUAGGGUGCGAGCGUUGCUCGGAGUUACUGGGCGUAAAGCGCGCGUAGGCGGUUUGGUAAGUCGGAUGUGAAAGCCCCGGGCUCAACCUGGGAAUUGCAUUCGAUACUGCCAGACUAGAGUAUGGUAGAGGGAAGUGGAAUUCCGGGUGUAGCGGUGAAAUGCGUAGAUAUCCGGAGGAACACCAGUGGCGAAGGCGACUUCCUGGACCAAUACUGACGCUGAGGUGCGAAAGCGUGGGGAGCAAACAGGAUUAGAAACCCUAGUAGUCC
RNAcentral lists this ribosomal RNA (274 nucleotides) under uncultured bacterium. RNAcentral describes it as "partial 16S ribosomal RNA". It matches the Rfam family "Bacterial small subunit ribosomal RNA", at positions 523 to 796 of the family's 1533-position model. The record is from RNAcentral.